Molecule: ribosomal RNA, 274 nt
Filed under: uncultured bacterium
Lineage: Bacteria
Description: partial 16S ribosomal RNA
Rfam family: Bacterial small subunit ribosomal RNA
Source: RNAcentral
AUACAGAGGGUGCGAGCGUUAAUCGGAAUUACUGGGCGUAAAGCGCGCGUAGGCGGUCUAUUAAGUCAGAUGUGAAAUCCCCGGGCUCAACCUGGGAACUGCAUCUGAUACUGGUAAGCUAGAGUUUUGGAGAGGGAAGUAGAAUUUCAGGUGUAGCGGUGAAAUGCAUAGAGAUCUGAAGGAAUACCAGUGGCGAAGGCGGCUUCCUGGCCAAAAACUGACGCUGAGGUGCGAAAGCGUGGGUAGCAAACGGGAUUAGAUACCCUAGUAGUCC